AUUAUUUUGGCAGAUUAGUGCAUUAAAUUUAGAAUUUAAUUAUGUAGAGAUACUACAAAUAAUA
This 64-nucleotide transfer RNA is filed under the name Staphylinidae sp. BMNH 1274661. RNAcentral's name for it is "tRNA-Leu". The record is from RNAcentral. Lineage: Eukaryota; Metazoa; Arthropoda; Insecta; Coleoptera; Staphylinidae.